This 124-nucleotide ribosomal RNA is filed under the name Dasypus novemcinctus (nine-banded armadillo). Lineage: Eukaryota; Metazoa; Chordata; Mammalia; Cingulata; Dasypodidae. The record is from RNAcentral.
GUCUACGGCCAUACCACCCUGAACGCGCCCGAUCUCAUCUGAUCUCGGAAGCUAAGCAGGGUCGGGCCUGGUUAGUACUUGGAUGGGAGACCCCUCUUUUUUUUAAAGCAGCCUGUUGGAGGUC